Molecule: long non-coding RNA, 295 nt
Filed under: Medicago truncatula (barrel medic)
Lineage: Eukaryota; Viridiplantae; Streptophyta; Magnoliopsida; Fabales; Fabaceae
Description: long non-coding RNA (MTRU_LNC006506)
Source: RNAcentral
CAGUUUGCUCCUGAACAGUUUGCUCAGGGAUGGUUUGGGUUUCUGUUUGGGUUUCCAAAACAGUCUUUUCAGGAACUGUCUUAGAGGCCUUAGUGGGUGUUGGUUGCAUUUCACCACCUAGAUGUUUUUCUAAGUUGUGAAGGGUUGAGGAUUCUUGGUGUUGGGGGGUUUCUGAAGUAGUUGCAUCUGAAACUACUUCAGAGGCUUUUUGUGUGGUUGAGUUAUGUGGUGAGUUUGUUGUAGGUUCUGGGUUGGGUUGAGGUUGUUGUACACUAACAGGUUCAGGAUUAUCUGG